GACAGAAAAUGUAUUCAUAAAUUAAUGUUGAUAAUGUUAUGGUAUUUCAGGUUAAAUUUUUUUAGAAGAAUGAGAAAUUUGAAUUUGGAGUAGAUACGAUAGAUUUCUUUCAUCAAAUAAAAGAUUUGCGAACAGUUAAAAAGGAAUAACUUCAUGAAUCAGUCAAGUUUCAUUGUAGAUAGGGGCUAAUGGCGAGGGUGGCGGUCAAGGAACUACUCACAGCUCCGCAGGCUGCGGGUUGCGAAUGCAAGGGGCUCAUUAAAGACUUAUGUACUUAAACGUUAUAUUGU
Anoplophora glabripennis (Asian longhorned beetle) is the source of this 290-nucleotide long non-coding RNA. RefSeq lists it as uncharacterized. The record is from RefSeq and is a predicted model, not a curated record. The transcript has 2 exons. Lineage: Eukaryota; Metazoa; Arthropoda; Insecta; Coleoptera; Cerambycidae.